This 505-nucleotide ribosomal RNA is filed under the name uncultured bacterium. RNAcentral's name for it is "bacterial SSU rRNA". It matches the Rfam family "Bacterial small subunit ribosomal RNA", at positions 30 to 539 of the family's 1533-position model. The record is from RNAcentral.
UGAACGCUAGCGGGAGGCUUAAUACAUGCAAGUCGAGCGGUAAGGUCUUCGGACCCUAGAGCGGCGCACGGGUGAGUAACGCGUACGAAACCUGCCUUUAAGAGGGGCAUAGCCCUGGGAAACUGGGAGUAAUACCUCAUAGUAUUUAUUUACUGCAUGGUGAAUAGAUUAAAGCCGAGGCGCUUAAAGAUGGUCGUGCGUCUGAUUAGCUAGUUGGUAGGGUAACGGCCUACCAAGGCGACGAUCAGUAGGGGGCGUGAGAGCGUGGCCCCCCACACGGGUACUGAGACACGGACCCGACUCCUACGGGAGGCAGCAGUAAGGAAUAUUGGGCAAUGGACGGAAGUCUGACCCAGCCAUCCCGCGUGCAGGAAGAAUGCCCUAUGGGUUGUAAACUGCUUUUGUUUGGGAAGAAAUGUACUUUUUCAAGAGUAUUUGACGGUACCAGACGAAUAAGCACCGGCUAACUCCGUGCCAGCAGCCGCGGUAAUCUGAUGGCGCGAGG